This 402-nucleotide ribosomal RNA is filed under the name uncultured bacterium. RNAcentral describes it as "bacterial SSU rRNA". It matches the Rfam family "Bacterial small subunit ribosomal RNA", at positions 356 to 773 of the family's 1533-position model. The record is from RNAcentral.
GGGGAAUAUUGGGCAAUGGGCGAAAGCCUGACCCAGCAACGCCGCGUGAGGGAAGAAGGUUUUCGGAUCGUAAACCUCUGUCCUUAGUGAAGAGAAAGAGACGGUAGCUAAGGAGGAAGCCCCGGCUAACUACGUGCCAGCAGCCGCGGUAAUACGUAGGGGGCGAGCGUUGUCCGGAAUGAUUGGGCGUAAAGGGCGCGUAGGCGGCCUGUUAAGUCCGGAGUGAAAUUCCUGCUUUCAAGGUAGGAAGUGCUUUGGAAACUGGCGGGCUGGAGUGCAGGAGAGGUUAGCGGAAUUCCCGGUGUAGCGGUGAAAUGCGUAGAGAUCGGGAGGAACACCAGUGGCGAAGGCGGCUAACUGGACUGUAACUGACGCUGAGGCGCGAAAGUGUGGGGAGCAAAC